GGGCGAGUGGUGAAAUUGGUAAACACAACGGACUUAAAAUCCGUCGCUCCUAAUACGAGCUUAAGGGUUCAAGUCCCUUCUCGCCCACCA
RNAcentral lists this transfer RNA (90 nucleotides) under Phycisphaerae bacterium. RNAcentral describes it as "tRNA-Leu". It matches the Rfam family "tRNA". From Rfam's summary of the family: Transfer RNA (tRNA) molecules are approximately 80 nucleotides in length. Their secondary structure includes four short double-helical elements and three loops (D, anti-codon, and T loops). RNAcentral also lists the same sequence under 1 other name. The record is from RNAcentral. Lineage: Bacteria; Pseudomonadati; Planctomycetota; Phycisphaerae.